RNAcentral lists this long non-coding RNA (829 nucleotides) under Coturnix japonica (Japanese quail). RNAcentral's name for it is "lncRNA (ENSCJPG00005015410.1)". The record is from RNAcentral. Lineage: Eukaryota; Metazoa; Chordata; Aves; Galliformes; Phasianidae.
UAAAUGUCUCCUGUAAAUCUAUUAGUGUCCAUAUAUAAUUUACUCUUCACGUUGCUCUUUUGGAGCUGUCAAGUGUCUUUGACAGUAUCCAGCUUUCUUUAAAACCUUAAACGUGACCCUUUGUAACUACUUAUUCUUAGAACAGUGAAAAUGUUUGUUCUUUCAUGAAUUUAUAAAAUGUUUUUAAUUAUAAAUCAAACAAAGUUAUUUCUUUUCUUUGGCAAUCCAGGAGGGGAGAACCAGUUAACCAGUCCCACCUGCCUGGCGAAGCAGCAUCCAAAGGAGCAGCAGCAUUCUCAGGAUUAAAGGAGGAAAAAGGAAAUGAAAUGCAUUGCUAAUUUAGGCCAAUGAAGAUGGGUUUGGUUGGCAUGUCUCACAGCUCUUACCUAUAGAGGCAACUGAGUGUUCUUAAAACCUGGACUGGUGCUGCUCACCAAUUGAGAUCAUACCCAGGUAGGAAAGAAGCUCCAGAAGCCAGAAUGUGAUCUUGUGUGCUGUUGAAAGGAAGGAGGAACAGCAAGGAGGGACGUUUGGUGACCAGGCUCUGGAGGUGGGUCAGCUCUUCAGACCCCCACAAACUACUGCUGUCUGCUUUAGUUACUUAGGGUGCUGCUCAACCCUCAUCCUGUCAGAGCUUCGUGCUAAAGCAUCUGCUGAAUGGGGCACCUGAGACCAGAACCCCCUGCUUCAAUAGAGGGGAAAAAGGAACUUCAGGAGCCAAAAAUGUUUGCUGUUUGCUGACAGUGUAGUCCCUACAGGGGGAUGCUGUGCGCGGGGCUGUAGAACAGCAGAGCCCUGUCCUCCCCCGGGCUCCUCAGGCAGAACCGAU